Molecule: ribosomal RNA, 221 nt
Filed under: Salmonella enterica
Lineage: Bacteria; Pseudomonadati; Pseudomonadota; Gammaproteobacteria; Enterobacterales; Enterobacteriaceae
Description: partial 23S ribosomal RNA
Rfam family: Bacterial large subunit ribosomal RNA
Source: RNAcentral
GGUUAAGCGACUAAGCGUACACGGUGGAUGCCCUGGCAGUCAGAGGCGAUGAAGGACGUGCUAAUCUGCGAUAAGCGUCGGUAAGGUGAUAUGAACCGUUAUAACCGGCGAUUUCCGAAUGGGGAAACCCAGUGUGAUUCGUCACACUAUCGUUAACUGAAUACAUAGGUUAACGAAGCGAACCGGGGGAACUGAAACAUCUAAGUACCCCGAGGAAAAGA